RNAcentral lists this ribosomal RNA (439 nucleotides) under uncultured bacterium. RNAcentral's name for it is "partial 16S ribosomal RNA". It matches the Rfam family "Bacterial small subunit ribosomal RNA", at positions 338 to 795 of the family's 1533-position model. The record is from RNAcentral.
CCUACGGGUGGCAGCAGUAGGGAAUAUUGCUCAAUGGGGGAAACCCUGAAGCAGCAACGCCGCGUGGAGGAUGAAGGUUUUCGGAUUGUAAACUCCUUUUGUUAGAGAAGAUAAUGACGGUAUCUAACGAAUAAGCACCGGCUAACUCCGUGCAAGCAGCCGCGGUACUACGGGGGGUGAAGCGUUACUCGGAAUCACUUGGCGGAAAGAGGGCGUAGGUGGGAUUGCAAGUCAGAUGUGAAAUCCUAUGGCUUAACCAUAGAACUGCAUUUGAAACUGGUAUUCGAGAGUAUGGGAGAGGUAGGUGGAAUUCUUGGUGUAGGGGUAAAAUCCGUAGAGAUCAAGAGGAAUACUCAUUGCGAAGGCGACCUGCUAGAACAUAACUGACGCUGAUGCGCGAAAGCGUGGGGAGCAAACAGGAUUAGAUACCCUAGUAGUC